Molecule: ribosomal RNA, 253 nt
Filed under: uncultured bacterium
Lineage: Bacteria
Description: partial 16S ribosomal RNA
Rfam family: Bacterial small subunit ribosomal RNA
Source: RNAcentral
GACAGAGGGUGCAAACGUUGUUCGGAAUUACUGGGCGUAAAGCGCGCGUAGGCGGUUAUGCAAGUCGGGUGUGAAAGCCCCGGGCUCAACCCGGGAAGUGCAUUCGAUACUGCGUAUCUAGAGUACUGGAGAGGAUGGUGGAAUUCUCGGUGUAGAGGUGAAAUUCGUAGAUAUCGGGAAGAACACCGGUGGCGAAGGCGGCCAUCUGGACAGAUACUGACGCUGAGACGCGAGAGCGUGGGGAGCAAACAGG